GCAGGCGUGGUUCAAUGGUAGAACACAAGCUUCCCAAGCUUGGGACGCGGGUUCGAUUCCCGUCGCUUGCUGCA
RNAcentral lists this transfer RNA (74 nucleotides) under Stomatobaculum longum. RNAcentral's name for it is "tRNA-Gly". It matches the Rfam family "tRNA". From Rfam's summary of the family: Transfer RNA (tRNA) molecules are approximately 80 nucleotides in length. Their secondary structure includes four short double-helical elements and three loops (D, anti-codon, and T loops). Further hydrogen bonds mediate the characteristic L-shaped molecular structure. tRNAs have two regions of fundamental functional importance: the anti-codon, which is responsible for specific mRNA codon recognition, and the 3' end, to which the tRNAs corresponding amino acid is attached (by aminoacyl-tRNA synthetases). tRNAs cope with the degeneracy of the genetic code in two manners: having more than one tRNA (with a specific anti-codon) for a particular amino acid; and 'wobble' base-pairing, i.e. permitting non-standard base-pairing at the 3rd anti-codon position. Lineage: Bacteria; Bacillati; Bacillota; Clostridia; Lachnospirales; Lachnospiraceae. The record is from RNAcentral.